RNAcentral lists this ribosomal RNA (427 nucleotides) under uncultured Oscillibacter sp. Its description in RNAcentral is "bacterial SSU rRNA". It matches the Rfam family "Bacterial small subunit ribosomal RNA", at positions 355 to 794 of the family's 1533-position model. Lineage: Bacteria; Bacillati; Bacillota; Clostridia; Eubacteriales; Oscillospiraceae. The record is from RNAcentral.
UGGGGAAUAUUGGGCAAUGGGCGGAAAGACCUGACCCAGCGACGCCGCGUGAGGGAAGACGGUCUUCGGAUUGUAAACCUCUGUUGACAGGGACGAAGGAAGUGACGGUACCUGUCGAGGAAGCCACGGCUAACUACGUGCCAGCAGCCGCGGUAAUACGUAGGUGGCGAGCGUUAUCCGGAUUUACUGGGUGUAAAGGGCGUGUAGCCGGGCCUUUAAGUCAGAUGUGAAAUCCGCGGGCUUAACCCGCGAACUGCAUUUGAAACUGAGGGUCUUGAGUAUCGGAGAGGUAAUCGGAAUUCCUAGUGUAGCGGUGAAAUGCGUAGAUAUUAGGAAGAACACCAGUGGCGAAGGCGGAUUACUGGACGACAACUGACGGUGAGGCGCGAAAGCGUGGGGAGCAAACAGGAUUAGAUACCCUGGUAGU